RNAcentral lists this ribosomal RNA (224 nucleotides) under uncultured bacterium. Its description in RNAcentral is "partial 16S ribosomal RNA". It matches the Rfam family "Bacterial small subunit ribosomal RNA", at positions 524 to 776 of the family's 1533-position model. The record is from RNAcentral.
UACGGGAGGGGCAAGCGUUAUUCGUAAGUACUGGGCGUAAAGGGUUUUUAGGUGGUAUCUUUUUAGAUACUUUAAUAUAUUGAGUAAGCAAAUCAAGUUAGAAGUAUCUCUAAUGUAUAAAAAGGGGUGAUAUCCACCUGAGAUUAGUAGAGACUAUCAUAAGCGGAGGCGUCUAAACUAUAACUUACUAACACUGACGAACGAAAGCAGGGGGAGCAAACAGG